Schizosaccharomyces pombe (fission yeast) is the source of this 2096-nucleotide non-coding RNA. Lineage: Eukaryota; Fungi; Ascomycota; Schizosaccharomycetes; Schizosaccharomycetales; Schizosaccharomycetaceae. The record is from the annotation of a GenBank genome assembly.
UCAAUAGAUAAUUGUCGCGAUAUUUCACGCAAAGCUAGUUUGUCAUCUGUCUGGUACGUACCAUUCAAUCUUACGACAUAACUUUUUUCAUUUAUUUCCUGAGCUGCGCGUGAUAGUAUAUCAUCCACGAGAACUGAUUUUCCAGAACCCCGUGGACCGACAAUAAUGACAGAAUUACCUUCGCCAAGUACUAUAGUUUGUCGGACCCAUUGAUAAAGCUUUGUCUGUUCAUCCAUAUGUCCUACAAGAGGGAUAUGGCUUUUCCCACACAACCUUGCAGCAAUCGUAGAUUUAAUAGUAUGUAACUGUGAGUCAAUUUCAGAAUAUGGGACGUCAUUAAAUACAGACUCAACGACAGGAUUAGGAUAAAGUUUAUGCUGACUCUUUUUAGGAGAAAUAAUAGCAACUUCGAAAUUAGGUUUUUUGGGAGGAGGUGUAAAUUGAGAUUGUCGAAGAAGGGGUAAUCUGUCAGAUGAAGGAAGUAGUGGAGAAACUGAAUUGGGUGAUGAAGAUUCGGAUUGCGGAGUUGCUGAAGAGGAGUGAACAGAGGAAUCGGUUAAACCAGGUGUGAUAUUACGAAUUUCCGCAUUCUCUUGACGCUUUUUCGGUGGUCGUCCACGUUUUCUAGGAAGCAACGGAGCUGAUUCUCGCUGUUGAUUAUUAAGGAACUGUUGAUUAUUAGGAGAUGUAAUAGCAAAAUGUUUAAGUGACAACGCGUCUGAGUCAUGAAGCAUAUCCUCAUGUUUUCUAGUAAAGGCGCUUAAAGGUACAAUUCCACUAGCUAUUUUUGGAGGUCUACCACGCUUUCUUUUAAAAAGGGAUUGUGAUUUUGAAUCUAAAGGCAAGCCACUCGGUCUUUCAAGGCGAGGUCUUCCUCUACCUCGUUUGGGUCUAUUUUCAUCUAUUUUAUUUUCAGUACUUGUCCCAAAAAGUAUCUUGGGCUUAUUUAAAGGAGGUCGUCCACGUUUCCGCUUUACUGGGACGUCUGCAGUAGAAAAUAAAGGUUGAUCUGUGACUACAACUUCCUUCCGUAUUUCAGAUUGUGGAUUCAAUGAAUAGAAUUCAGAAGAAGAUUGUUCAUUUUCUGGAUUCAACUGUGAAUGAGUAUGUAGAUUUGUACCUGUCGAUUCAACCGUUACAUUAUUCGAAAUUGGAGUAUUUGCAAUCUUCUGUUCAGAUCGAUGUAAAGGUGGACGCCCGCGCCCUCUUUUCGCAGGUAAUACUACCAAAGGAGAAAGCCCAUUUUGACUUGAGCUCCCUUCUUCUGGUUUUAUUUUUCGAGGUCGUCCACGCCCUCUCUUUGGCUUCAGCUCACUUAAAUUGGCAUGCCCUUCGGCAAAACCUUCUAUGAUAUUCGGCUCAUCUAACCCCAUCUGUAGAUUAUUUUGAGUUGUUCCCUCAUCUACAGACGGUUGCACUACUGGGAGAGGAUGUAAACGAGGACGUCCUCUACCUCUUUUAGGCUUUAAGGGAUCAUCUAGUUUUGUGGAAGGAGAAGAACUUUUUAUUUUUGGAGGUCUGCCACGCUUCCGUUUGAUUAUAGGCUCCGAUCCUUCGUCAAUUGGUUUUGGUGGAUAUUUUCGAGGUCUUCCACGUCUGCGAGGAGCUUCAUUGAGACGCAAAGGUGAAGGUGAAGGCGGAGCUAAAGUCGUAGUUGAAAUAUUAUUAUCCUGAAAUAAAGUGACAGCGGCAAUAUCUUGCAAUUUUGCUUGAGAGGCAGUUAAUCCAUUAUUUGCAUCAUCAUUCGUAGAAUUGGGAUACUGCUGAUCAUCAUUACCACUUGAUAAAUUUUGAACAUUUGAGGUCUCAUUAGUUAUGUUUGUCUGGUAUUCAUUUUCCUUAUUUUCAUAGAUUGCUUCUGUGUCCAAAUUCCCAAGAUUUGUGAAUGGGGAUGAGCUCAUAUUAAAAACUUGAAGAUGCACAUCCCUAUGGUUUUUAUACACUGUAAAAAUAAUGAUCCUCUAAAUUUAGCCUUUUUAUUAACAAAUGCAAUUAAUUGGUCUCUUUUCUAAUUAUUUUUUUCAAUUUCCUCUUGACUUGACAGAUGCAGGGUGUUACUUCGAUUCUUGGUAAAGGUGAGCAGUAAGAUUGGCGUA